GAUGAACGCUGGCGGCGUGCCUAAUACAUGCAAGUCGAGCGAACAGAUGAGGAGCUUGCUCCUCUGACGUUAGCGGCGGACGGGUGAGUAACACGUGGAUAACCUACCUAUAAGACUGGGAUAACUUCGGGAAACCGGAGCUAAUACCGGAUAAUAUAUUGAACCGCAUGGUUCAAUAGUGAAAGACGGUUUUGCUGUCACUUAUAGAUGGAUCCGCGCCGCAUUAGCUAGUUGGUAAGGUAACGGCUUACCAAGGCAACGAUGCGUAGCCGGCCUGAGAGGGUGGACGGCCACAUUGGGACUGAGACACGGCCCAGACUCCUACGGGAGGCAGCAGUGGGGAAUAUUGCACAAUGGGCGCAAGCCUGAUGCAGCGACGCCGCGUGGGGGAUGAAGGCCUUCGGGUUGUAAACUCCUUUCGCCCGGGACGAAGCCCACCUGGUGGGUGACGGUACCGUGGAGAAGAAGCACCGGCUAACUACGUGCCAGCAGCCGCGGUAAUACGUAGGGUGCAAGCGUUGUCCGGAUUUACUGGGCGUAAAGAGCUCGUAGGUGGUGUGUCGCGUCGUCUGUGAAAUUCCGGGGCUUAACUCCGGGCGUGCAGGCGAUACGGGCACGACUAGAGUGCUGUAGGGGUAACUGGAAUUCCUGGUGUAGCGGUGAAAUGCGCAGAUAUCAGGAGGAACACCGAUGGCGAAGGCAGGUUACUGGGCAGUUACUGACGCUGAGGAGCGAAAGCAUGGGGAGCGAACAGGAUUAGAUACCCUGGUAGUCCAUGCUGUAAACGGUGGGUGCUAGGUGUGGGCUGUGUGUUUGCAGUCUGUGCCGUAGCUAACGCAUUAAGCGCCCCGCCUGGGGAGUACGGCCGCAAGGCUAAAACUCAAAGGAAUUGACGGGGGCCCGCACAAGCGGCGGAGCAUGUGGAUUAAUUCGAUGCAACGCGAAGAACCUUACCUGGGUUUGACAUGCACCAGAUCGGCGUAGAGAUACGUCCUCCCUUGUGGUUGGUGCACAGGUGGUGCAUGGUUGUCGUCAGCUCGUGUCGUGAGAUGUUGGGUUAAGUCCCGCAACGAGCGCAACCCUUGUCUUAUGUUGCCAGCACAUUUUUGGUGGGGACUCAUGAGAAACUGCCGGGGUCAACUCGGAGGAAGGUGGGGAUGACGUCAAAUCAUCAUGCCCUUUAUACCCAGGGCUUCACACAUGCUACAAUGGUCGGUACAACGGGUUGCGACACUGUGAAGUGAAGCUAAUCUCUGAAAGCCGGCCUCAGUUCGGAUUGGGGUCUGCAACUCGACCCCAUGAAGUCGGAGUCGCUAGUAAUCGCAGAUCAGCAAUGCUGCGGUGAAUACGUUCCCGGGCCU
Molecule: ribosomal RNA, 1361 nt
Filed under: uncultured bacterium
Lineage: Bacteria
Description: bacterial SSU rRNA
Rfam family: Bacterial small subunit ribosomal RNA
Source: RNAcentral